This 1498-nucleotide long non-coding RNA is filed under the name Sarcophilus harrisii (Tasmanian devil). RNAcentral's name for it is "lncRNA (ENSSHAG00000027071.1)". Lineage: Eukaryota; Metazoa; Chordata; Mammalia; Dasyuromorphia; Dasyuridae. The record is from RNAcentral.
UGUGUGUUUAUAUAUGGAAGUAGGGGUAUGUGAGAUAUUUUGAACCUGAGCAGUGGAACUAGUUUGUGUGCAGCACACAUAAAGCUUGAACCCUGUAUCCAGAAAUGUUUCACAUCCUAAACCUUGGAACAAAAGUCAAGAUCUAGUGAUUGACACCAAAAAAAGAGAAAACUCUUGUUUUAAUUUUUCAUCUACAUCAGUAAGUUCAGUAUCCCGGAGAUAGGAACCACAGCAAAAAAAAAAAAAAAAAAAAAAAAAAAAAAAAAAAGACUCCCUGCUGAGAGCCUUUCCUUUUGGGUAAUUGCACUUAUAUCAUUAUGAUAGCCCCUCCCCGUCAUCCCCCUUUAUCCCCAGACUUUUGGGACAAACACUCCUAGUUCCUUUGAAGCUUAAUGUUCACUUGCACCAAGCUGGUUUAUCAUAGACCCAAAACUCUUCUAUCUUCAUAGAAUAAUCUGGUUUCCCACUGGACUUCUUCCUCUCUCAAGAUUCAGCUUUGUUUUUUAGUCUGUUUUCUUUUGCUUGUUUGUUUGUUGUCAUUGCUGCGUCAAUAGCUUUGAUUUUUAAGUUGUAAUUGACAUCCUUCCAGAAGCUGCAUAACUUGUACACUUUGUCUUACUUUCUUGCUUAUAGGCAUCUUAUCUGUAAAGAUCUUUCCCGUUUCCUGUUUCUGUUCAUGGCAGCAUCUCAUUCUCCUUUAAUCAACCUAGAGAUUUCUUAAAAUUUGGAGGGAAAAUUUCAGCUGUGAUCAGUGCUUUUUGUCCCCAUAGAAAGGCAUUUUUGUAGAGGAUGGUGUUUGUGCUAUAGCUGGUCUUGGAGCUGUUAAUACUUCAUUCUCUUCCCAGCUUCACUGAAGGCACAAGACAUAGCCACAAGGAGAGAUAGGAAUACAAAGCUCAUCAUAAACUAGAUGAGACAACACAUUUCCAAGAAUUUGGACUUCUAUAUGUGUACUGAAAUAGAUCCUCUUGCUAAAGCAACUUUGGCAUAAAACGCUGAUAUGGAUGAUUGGGAAAACUGUUCUGCUACAAACAUUAGUUUUUGGAAGUCCCAAGCACAGGACCUUCUGAUUUGGCCUCUGCUAUUCUGUCUCCAUGGACAGUGUACAAUAGCCCUGAAAGACCUCAUCUAAAAUGUAAAUCUUUUCAGAAACCGUUCCUAUCCUUCCUGCUUAGAAGGUAUAAAGACAACAUUGUUUGACCUAUAUUAUCUGGUCCUUUUUAUCACUGACGCUCACAAACAAAUCCAGAUCGGUGAAAAAGUCAGCAUUCCUUUGAAAAUAAAUGUUGGAAGAGCUACCUUGCUAAUAUCUGUUUCUAGUCUAAUAAUCAGACACGUGAUGUAUGUUCUUUUGCUUUUUGACAGAGCCAUACUGUUAGUCAUCCUGGAGUCAGAGGUCAACAUAACUUAUUCUACCAGAUGUAGAAUAAGAAAAUCUGCUAUUGGGGCAUUUAAAAUUGUUCCCAAAAAUUGCUGUGUCAAGACUGAGGCAGAUUUC